GCUCCCAUGGCGUAGUGGUCACUGCACUCGCCUAGCACGCGGGAGACCCGGGUUCGAUUCCUGGCGGGGUCA
Molecule: transfer RNA, 72 nt
Filed under: Diaphorina citri (Asian citrus psyllid)
Lineage: Eukaryota; Metazoa; Arthropoda; Insecta; Hemiptera; Psyllidae
Rfam family: tRNA
About the family: Transfer RNA (tRNA) molecules are approximately 80 nucleotides in length. Their secondary structure includes four short double-helical elements and three loops (D, anti-codon, and T loops).
Source: Rfam by way of RNAcentral